This 1369-nucleotide ribosomal RNA is filed under the name uncultured bacterium. RNAcentral describes it as "bacterial SSU rRNA". It matches the Rfam family "Bacterial small subunit ribosomal RNA", at positions 28 to 1381 of the family's 1533-position model. The record is from RNAcentral.
GACGAACGCUGGCGGCGUGCCUAAUACAUGCAAGUAGAACGCUGAAGAGAGGAGCUUGCUCUUCUUGGAUGAGUUGCGAACGGGUGAGUAACGCGUAGGUAACCUGCCCUGUAGCGGGGGAUAACUAUUGGAAACGAUAGCUAAUACCGCAUAACAAUGGAUGACCCAUGUCAUUUAUUUGAAAGGGGCAAAUGCUCCACUACAAGAUGGACCUGCGUUGUAUUAGCUAGUAGGUGAGGUAACGGCUCACCUAGGCGACGAUACAUAGCCGACCUGAGAGGGUGAUCGGCCACACUGGGACUGAGACACGGCCCAGACUCCUACGGGAGGCAGCAGUAGGGAAUCUUCGGCAAUGGGGGCAACCCUGACCGAGCAACGCCGCGUGAGUGAAGAAGGUUUUCGGAUCGUAAAGCUCUGUUGUAAGUCAAGAACGAGUGUGAGAGUGGAAAGUUCACACUGUGACGGUAGCUUACCAGAAAGGGACGGCUAACUACGUGCCAGCAGCCGCGGUAAUACGUAGGUCCCGAGCGUUGUCCGGAUUUAUUGGGCGUAAAGCGAGCGCAGGCGGUUUGAUAAGUCUGAAGUUAAAGGCUGUGGCUCAACCAUAGUUCGCUUUGGAAACUGUCAAACUUGAGUGCAGAAGGGGAGAGUGGAAUUCCAUGUGUAGCGGUGAAAUGCGUAGAUAUAUGGAGGAACACCGGUGGCGAAAGCGGCUCUCUGGUCUGUAACUGACGCUGAGGCUCGAAAGCGUGGGGAGCGAACAGGAUUAGAUACCCUGGUAGUCCACGCCGUAAACGAUGAGUGCUAGGUGUUGGAUCCUUUCCGGGAUUCAGUGCCGCAGCUAACGCAUUAAGCACUCCGCCUGGGGAGUACGACCGCAAGGUUGAAACUCAAAGGAAUUGACGGGGGCCCGCACAAGCGGUGGAGCAUGUGGUUUAAUUCGAAGCAACGCGAAGAACCUUACCAGGUCUUGACAUCCCGAUGCUAUUUCUAGAGAUAGAAAGUUACUUCGGUACAUCGGUGACAGGUGGUGCAUGGUUGUCGUCAGCUCGUGUCGUGAGAUGUUGGGUUAAGUCCCGCAACGAGCGCAACCCCUAUUGUUAGUUGCCAUCAUUCAGUUGGGCACUCUAGCGAGACUGCCGGUAAUAAACCGGAGGAAGGUGGGGAUGACGUCAAAUCAUCAUGCCCCUUAUGACCUGGGCUACACACGUGCUACAAUGGUUGGUACAACGAGUUGCGAGUCGGUGACGGCAAGCUAAUCUCUUAAAGCCAAUCUCAGUUGGGAUUGUAGGCUGCAACUCGCCUACAUGAAGUCGGAAUCGCUAGUAAUCGCGGAUCAGCACGCCGCGGUGAAUACGUUCCCGGGCCU